UACGUAGGGCGCAAGCGUUGUCCGGAAUUAUUGGGCGUAAAGAGCUCGUAGGCGGCCUGUUGCGUCCGCUGUGAAAUCCCGGGGCUCAACCCCAAGCCUGCACUGGAUACUGCCGAGCUAGAGUCCGGGAGGGGAGAGCGGAAUUCCUGGUGUAGCGGUGAAAUGCGCAGAUAUUAGGAAGAACACCGGUGGCGAAGGCGGCUCUCUGGAACGGUACUGACGCUGAGACGCGAAAGCGUGGGGAGCGAACAGG
This 253-nucleotide ribosomal RNA is filed under the name uncultured bacterium. RNAcentral describes it as "partial 16S ribosomal RNA". It matches the Rfam family "Bacterial small subunit ribosomal RNA", at positions 524 to 776 of the family's 1533-position model. The record is from RNAcentral.